AAAAAAAGAACAAUAUGUAACGUAAAAAGGCAACAGCAGCCCGUGUUUGUACAAUUUAACGUUAGCCUGAAAUACGUUUUUAAAAUAACAGUAAUUGAACACUUAUCCUCAAAAAUUACCUGAUUUGAUAUUUUAAAAACAACUCUGCUGUAACUACAUACUCAUGCUACAUACAUAUGUCGGUGUGUUGUAUAAAUAUAUAAAAUAAAUGCAUUUAAUGAAUCUUUAUUACCAGAAAUCGCAGUUCUGUCACUCUACUCUAUCAGUUUGAAUGGCCGCCAACGCACUUCCUUGAACUAUAUGAAGUCGACAGGCCCCAAGGAAGUCGACCGGAAGUUGAAGUCGGCCGCGUGCCGCCAUCUUGUAGCAGAACUUCACUUGCGUUAGCAUCCCAUUGACUCUCAUUCAUUUUGGCGUCACUUUGACAGCGAAUAACUUUACAUCUGAGGCGUUUAAAGACUCCAUUUGUCCAUUAUUUAUUUCUAAAGAUACACUGUCACGCUGCCAGUCUUUGUUUUCCUGGGUGUUCCCUAGUGAGCUCACUUCCCCUUAGGCACUUCACCAUAGGCACUUUAAUUCCGCUAGUCUGGUUGUGUCUUCACAGUAAUUGCACUCCAAUUAGAAUCGCACAGGUGUUGACAAUACUCUGUCAUUAGUUUCCCUUUAUAGAGCUGUCUUUCUCUGUUGUCAUCAUGGAGUCCUUACCCUAUGUGUCUCAUGCUCUCGUUCCCCCAGACUUCCUCUACCUUCUCGUUCUUCCGAGUUCCCCGUUUCAUCCGGUUCCCUUUUUGUUUGGUUUGUCUCUCAAGACAGUUUUAUUUUGUAUUUACCUGUUUGUGCAAUAAACCUUACCUGCUAUUGGAUCUUACCCUUUCCUUGUGUUUUUCCCUUAACCCAACCGUGACAGAAGGACUCCAUCAUGCCUAGAUCCAGCGGUGUGAGAUUUCGAAUCUGUUCCCCAGCCACCAUGGAGGAACGGAGGAGGAGAUUCCGGAACUUAACCACCCUUCAUCAAAAGGGAAGCGAGAGGAAGAGACAGUUUUGGCCAUCCUGGGGCCUGUUGCAAUGGAAGGAUCCUUGGAGAUAUGGAUACAUGUGCAUCAACCAGGCCUCCAAUAUCAGGGCCUCUCCAGUCUGGCCCUUCAACAUCAGGCUUCACAUCUUCAGAGGGCAAUAGAAAGAAACAAUGCUUUAAAUUCAGUUGUUAGCUACACUGCAUUAUUAUGCUGUUGGAAAUGUAUGGAGGUGGUGGGUGAUGGCCUGAUGGGUGGGUGAUGGAAGCACACAUGACUGUUUUGUCUAGGCCACUUCUGCGGUUUGCAGGUGGCUGAAGAGGGUGCAUGGCUUUGGUGAUAACUGGCUGCUGGAGACAUGUCCUCUUCGCCCAUACGUCCUGACACCUGUGUAGCAUCCAGCCACUACUGCAGUUCAAACCAUUUGUUUAAGCUGACAUAAUUUAUGCUAAAUAUUUGGUUUCUUUGCCGAUAUGUAUUAAAUGAACACUUAAAAAAAUAAAAAAAAACUUUUGCAAACAGUGUA
Long non-coding RNA from Carassius gibelio (silver crucian carp), 1539 nucleotides. RefSeq lists it as uncharacterized. The record is from RefSeq and is a predicted model, not a curated record. The transcript has 2 exons. Lineage: Eukaryota; Metazoa; Chordata; Actinopteri; Cypriniformes; Cyprinidae.